GAACCUGCGGAAGGAUCAUUACCGAGUGUAGGGUUCCUAGCGAGCCCAACCUCCCACCCGUGUUUACUGUACCUUAGUUGCUUCGGCGGGCCCGCCAUUCAUGGCCGCCGGGGGCUCUCAGCCCCGGGCCCGCGCCCGCCGGAGACACCACGAACUCUGUCUGAUCUAGUGAAGUCUGAGUUGAUUGUAUCGCAAUCAGUUAAAACUUUCAACAAUGGAUCUCUUGGUUCCGGCAUCGAUGAAGAACGCAGCGAAAUGCGAUAACUAGUGUGAAUUGCAGAAUUCCGUGAAUCAUCGAGUCUUUGAACGCACAUUGCGCCCCCUGGUAUUCCGGGGGGCAUGCCUGUCCGAGCGUCAUUGCUGCCCAUCAAGCACGGCUUGUGUGUUGGGUCGUCGUCCCCUCUCCGGGGGGGACGGGCCCCAAAGGCAGCGGCGGCACCGCGUCCGAUCCUCGAGCGUAUGGGGCUUUGUCACCCGCUCUGUAGGCCCGGCCGGCGCUUGCCGAACGCAAAUCAAUCUUUUUCCAGGUUGACCUCGGAUCAGGUAGGGAUACCCGCUGAACUUAAGCAUAUCAAUAAGCGGAGGAA
This 587-nucleotide ribosomal RNA is filed under the name Aspergillus flavus. RNAcentral's name for it is "eukaryotic LSU rRNA". The stretch from base 204 to 357 matches the Rfam family "5.8S ribosomal RNA". The record is from RNAcentral. Lineage: Eukaryota; Fungi; Ascomycota; Eurotiomycetes; Eurotiales; Aspergillaceae.